Molecule: long non-coding RNA, 1047 nt
Organism: Gasterosteus aculeatus aculeatus (three-spined stickleback)
Lineage: Eukaryota; Metazoa; Chordata; Actinopteri; Perciformes; Gasterosteidae
Source: Ensembl
ACAUCUUCAUUUAUACUUUAUUAUUGAUCAUUGAACAAAACAGAGUGGAGCAAUAGAAACUCAAUACAACGUGAUACUGCUUGUUGGGUUCACAUUUUGUCUAAUAUCACCAUUACUGCACAAGCUAAGGGAGCCGGACUACUUGGUGGACUUUGUUGUUUCUAGCCGUUUCCCGGUGUUUCGUGUCUUUAUGCUAAGCUAAGCUAAAGUAAAGGACUUCCUGUUUAAGGGGGCGGGUAUAUCCUGUCGUCUAACUCAAAUCAGCAAAUCACUUCCAUAUUGUUCCCGAACAACGAGUCCUGAACCACAGAAUCGUCUUCACGUCAACGAGUCCUGAACCACAGAAUCGUCUGCUUGUGUUUUUCUUCUCACCGAGAUCGAAACGAACCCGCAAGCCAAAGUUGACAGCCACUAUUCACCGCGUGAUGGACCCUCUGUGGGGUCUCGGCUCUCCUGGCUGGAUUUUAUGACGCCAGAUGGUCGGCCCUGCACACAAUGCGGCCCCCCUCUCCGCGGCCUUCACACGGACACCUUGUGGUGGGAACGGCCCGCCCAUGAAAGUAGCAGGUCAUUGCUUCAACUGGUCUCCAGAACCCGGGGACCUCCCUCUCUUCCUUCCGCCACCUUCUCGGGGUGUUUUGGAUCCUCUCGCCAUCUGCUGUCACAGUAGAUCCAAAUGUACAUCGAGAGCCUCGCCUCGCCGUGCCAUGCAGGAGGCCGCGGGUGAAAGCGCUCACAUCGUGUCUCCGACCUUGGACUUGUUCCCACAUGCAGGUCUGACGGUGUAGCGUCUUUUUUUUUCUUCCCGUUUCCUGAAACUCUCGCCUCAAGCAGCAACCCGAGCUCGUAGCCACCGAGAUCAGAUCGUACUGACACCGCAGAGUCUCUCCGUCAUCUGAUAUUCACGUAUCUGCUUUUACACGCAAAUGUUUGUGAUGUAAGAUUAGCAUUCACUGUGUCAUCACCCUGCAUGGUUCACUGCAUUUACCAUUUUCUGUUCCCCUUCUCAGCAUUUGUUCUUGUUAUUCUUUAAAUCACCCUCAAAAC